GAUGAACGCUGGCGGCGUGCCUAAUACAUGCAAGUAGAACGCUGAAGGAGGAGCUUGCUCUUCUGGAUGAGUUGCGAACGGGUGAGUAACGCGUAGGUAACCUGCCUUGUAGCGGGGGAUAACUAUUGGAAACGAUAGCUAAUACCGCAUGACAACAGUUAUUGCAUGAUAACUGUUUAAAAGUGGCACCUGCUCCACUACCAGAUGGACCUGCGUUGUAUUAGCUAGUUGGUGAGGUAACGGCUCACCAAGGCGACGAUACAUAGCCGACCUGAGAGGGGGAGCGGCCACACUGGGACUGAGACACGGCCCAGACUCAUACGGGAGGAAGCAGUAGGGAAUCUUCGGCAAUGGACGGAAGGCUGACCGAGAAACGCCGCGUGAGGGAAGAAGGUUGUCGGAUCGUAAAGCUCGGUUGUAAGAGAAGAACGAGUGUGAGAGUGGAAAGUUCACACUGUGACGGUAGCUGACCAGAAAGGGACGGCUAACUACGUG
RNAcentral lists this ribosomal RNA (495 nucleotides) under uncultured bacterium. RNAcentral describes it as "partial 16S ribosomal RNA". It matches the Rfam family "Bacterial small subunit ribosomal RNA", at positions 28 to 507 of the family's 1533-position model. The record is from RNAcentral.